AUAUACGUCAAUGAGGUACCUGCAAUUAACCCAAAAAACCACCAAUUGAAGAAUGAGCUUCUGGCUUUGCACUCCUCUGGAUCUGACACAUCAAACUGAUCAGCUCCAAAUGCCUGAACGCAAGGCUUGUGUCCUCCUUGUGCAACAGCUACUAGAUAUAGGGGGAAGAAGAAGAAUAUUACUUGGAUCUCAGAAGAAGAAAGCACGGCUGACAGGGUCAACAAGCCAAGUCCCUGUUUCAAUUUAGGUCCAAAAUUUAUAGCAUUCUGACAUAGCAAGAUGUAGAAAGAAAAUAAUCAAACUUACACCCCUAAUUAUAUCUGAAGAAUAACCAUUCAUUUCUUAGUAACUCCGUCUAUCAUAAGGAAAAGUAAAAUAUCAAUUAAUCUGAUGGAAUUUUCUUAAUUUUAUUUUUCUAAGUUCUAUAUGCUCUAUUUAGAAAUGACACCCCUGUAAGCCAGCCAGGACAAAAAAAGUGAGAACCGGCUGAAACUCAAAACGUAUCACUUAACCCCCUGAAAGUUGUCUUUCAUUUGAAUUGAUGCAUAUGAACUUUUUUUUGGUUCAUUUAGUUUUGUAAUAUGUUGGAUUUUGAUUAUGUCAAAAUUUCAUCAUCAUUUUAAAAAUAACACACACACAUUUUAGUUUAUAUUUUGACUUCUACGGUAGCAUAAAAGUGACACAUAAGUUAGCAACGGACGCUUUAAAAAUAGGCUUAUUUACACCAACGCCCCCUGAAACUCAACUUUAGUCUUACUUGGCCCCUUGUAACUCAAAAUGUAUCACUUAACCCUCUGACAGUUGUCUUUGCUUCUCACUUUGCCCCAUUCUGUUAUCUUCAUAAAAAUUUUUGUUAGAGUAAAUUGUAGUUAUAGUCCCUUAACUUUAACUCAAUUGGAGCAAUGGUCCCUCAACUAAAAAUCUAUUACCAUUGGUCCCUCAACUCAUCAAAACGUGCAACUAUGGUCCCUCAACUAAAAAUUCAUUAUCAUUGGUCCCUCAACUUUAAUUCAACUGGAGAAAUGGUCCCUUAACUUUAACCCAAUUGUAGCAAUGGUCCUUUCAACAUAACUCGUUUUGACAAAAUUUUUGACGUAGUUGACAAAAAGGACCAUAAUUACACACUUUGAUGAGUUGAGGGAACCUAAUUAUAUAAUUGGUUAUUCCAACAUAACUUAUUUUGACCAAAUUUUGACCAAAUUGAUGAAAAGGACUAUAGCUACACAUUUUGAUAAGUUGAGGGACCAAUAGUAAUGGAUUUUUAGUUGAGGGACCAUUGCUCCAAUUUGAUUAAAGUUGAGGGACUAUUGCUACAAUUUACUCAAUUAUGUUAAAUCACGUGAUGUGGCAAAUUUGGGGCCCAUUAAUUAGCUGACGUGUUGGCUAUGUCAUCGCCACAUUUACAACUUUCAUUAAAAGUAUUUAAUAUUUUACAUUUGAAAGAAAAAAUAGAAACAAGUCAAACAAUAAGAACAAUUACCUACCAAGGUGAGUGAGCAAAGAUCUUUUUUAGGGCUCGUGAACUAUUACCCUCUUUGGAGGGACUUACGCCAGCUUCAGUCAGGAGAGUUACCCUACACUCGAUGAGUUCGGAGGAAAGACUGGUGAAUUAGGCAACCCCUCUACCUUGAAUUCAUAAGUUGGGGUAUUUGAUGUGGUUGGGUUAUAGCGGUGAUGUUGCUAGCGAUGGUUAUGCAGAGCAAGGUAGGUGGUGAUGGUGAUGGAGUUACAAAAUUGAUAUGAAAUAAGCAAAUUUGAUGGUAGGAGUGGAGUUUGUGGGGGUUUUGGUAGUGAUGGCAUGAUGGGGAGCAGGUGGUGAGAGUUUUCUCUCAGUUUUUAGUUUUUUUUUUCCUUUCUAAAUUGAUUUUUAGUGUUAAAAAUAUUAUAUUUUUAUAUGUGGCAAUGACAUCGCUAACACAUUCAAUUAAUGGGCCCUACAUUUUACUACAUUUUACACGUCACGUGAUGUAACAUAAGUUUUGACGGAGAUAAUAGAUGAUAACUGAGAAACUAAGGCAAUCUCCAACCGAUGGCUGGCUAGAGGGCUCGUUUUAGACAUCUGGCCCUCCAAGGCUCUCCAAGAUAUUAAUAUUUUAAUGAACAGUACAUGGUCAUAUUUGCCUCUAUCUCCAACCGAGGGCCAGAUGGCUCGUUUUAGCCCUUUCACAAAAAACCGUCUCCAACCGAGGGCUAAAGGGCCAUAGGGCCAAACAUAAUUUAUUAUUUAAAAACUACAACUUAAAUUCAAAUCCAACGGCUAAGUGAUGUCAGCUAGCCGUUGGUAGCUGACAUCAUGCUUACGUCAGCUAGCCAUUGGAUUUGAAUUUUUUUUUGCUAUAAAUAGGGUGGAUAUUGGGAUAUAAUUCACAUAACUUUGAAUUCAAUCUAUUUAAAUUCAAUCUCUUUGAAUUCAAUCUCUUUCAAUUCAAGUUUGCAAUGAAUUCCAACUGUUGUGUUAGAGGCGGUUGCCUCAUAUGACACAUGGAUAUGACAUGCUUUCUUUGGAGUCUCUGGAUCCCAAAAUGACAUUACAGUUCUUGGGCGUUCACCCCUCUUCAAUAACUUGACAGAAGGUAAAGCACCUCAACUUGAUUACUACAUCAACGGCCGUCAAUACAAUAUGAGGUAUUACUUGGCAGAUGGCAUCUACCCAAAGUGGGCGACACUUGUCCAAGCAAUUCCAAACCCUAGGAAUGACGCGGAAAAGUUGUUUAACUUACACCAAGAGGCAUAUCAGAAAGAUGUUGAGAGAGCUUUUGGUAUUCUACAAGCACGGUGGAAGAUCAUCAGCGAACCGACAAGAGGGUGGAGUCGAGAAAAUUUGGACUCCAUCAUGAUGUCUUGCAUCAUAUUACACAAUAUGAUAGUGGAGGAUGAGCGAGAUGGGUAUAUUGAUGAAGAGUCCGAUGACGACCAAGAAGAUCCAAAUAGGUCAAGAAGGGCUCGUUCAAAAAUAUAUGACGAGCCUAAUUUGCCUUUCAAUCCAAGAACUGGUAGUAUCUCUAUAGAUGAGUACAUGAGACGCUAUAGAAUGAUACGUUCUCGUGCCACAAACAAGUACCUAUAACAAGAUCUUGUUGCACAUCUUUGGGCCCAAAGAAGCAUGGAGUCGGCAUUUACGUUUUAUGUUUUUAAAUGUUUUUUAAAAUGUUGUUUAAGUUUCAUGUUGUAUAAUUUUUAUGUUGGUUAAUGUUAUUUAAUGUUGUUUCAUAUUGUUUAAUGUUGUUUCAUGUUACUUAAUUUAAGUUAAUGUUGUAUAAUGGCUUAGGAAGUAAUAGGAAAAAAAAUAGAAUUUAAAAAAAAAAUAUGAAACAAAUUUUGUGAAAUAAAAGUUAUAGGAAAAAAAAUGGAAUUUAAAAAAAAAUAUGAAACAAAUUUUGUGAAAUAGAAGUUAUAAGAAGUAAAAUGGAAUUUAAAAAAAAAUGAAAUAAAUUUUGUGAAAUAGAAGUUAUAGGAAAAAAAUGGAAUUUAAAAAAAAUAUGAAAUAAAUUUUGUGAAAUAGAAGUUAUAGGAAAAAAAUGGAAUAUGAAACAAAUUUUGUGAAAUAGAAGUUAUAGGAAAAAAAUGGAAUUUAAAAAAAAUAUGAAAUAAAUUUUGUGAAAUAGAAGUUAUAGGAAAAAAAAUUGGAAUUUAAAAAAAAUAUGAAAUAAAUUUUGUGAAAUAGAAGUUAUAGGAAAAAAAAUGGAAUUUAAAAAAAAAUGAAAUAAAUUUUGUGAAAUAGAAGUUAUAGGAAAAAAAUGGAAUAUGAAACAAAUUUUGUGAAAUAGAAGUUAUAGGAAAAAAAUGGAAUUUAAAAAAAAUAUGAAACAAAUUUUGUGAAAUAGAAGUUAUAGGAAAAAAAUGAAAUUUAAAAAAAUAUGAACCAAAUUUUGUAAAAUAUAAGUUAUAGAAAAAAAGUUAUAGGAAGUUAUAGAAACAAAAAGGUUUAAAUUCAUAAAAAAAAAAAAGGUUUGAAAUACAACGGCUAGUGAUUGGCUAGCCGUUGGAAUUCAAAUUAGAAUUCAAAUUAGUGUCAGUUUUAACCGACACUGUUCAAAAUGAUAUUACACUAACAUUGCUAUUAGUGUCGGUUAUAACCGACACUAAUAAUAUAGUAUAUAUUAUUUCUGUCGGCUAUAACCGACAGAAAUAACAAAGCCAGCCCUCUAGCCCUCUGGCCUAGCCCUCGGUUGGAGACGGUUUUCAGGCUAUUUUCGGCCCUCUGGCCCUCAGGACCCUUCGGUUGGAGAUGGCCUAAUGGUACAAGCCACCCUUAUAUUGAUAGAUGGCACAUAAAUGCAUGUAUGCUACACAAAUGUGAUACAUGGAUCAUAGAUAAAUGCCCCCUUCUUAUCCUACAUCAUACACUUACUUCCUACAUGGAGCAAGAAAACUAAAACUUGCGGCCUUGUAAGGAUUUACUGCACCUACUAUUUGGUAAAAUCUCGACUUAACCGAUAUCCAAACAUCCAUCUUCUAUCUCACCAAGAACACAAACAGAGGCCCAGACAUUCACCGGCCACUUCCCUCCCCGAAGCCAAGGCUACAUCGCCUCCACGUCUCCUCCUAUUUGAGCUUCAUUUCCCUAAUAAAUGUCUAAAAUGGGUACAAGUUGUAUGAAAGAUGGAUUAGAUGCGUGUGGGAUGUGUACUACGAAGAAUACAACAACGGCAGACAAUGUGAUUCCAACUCCAGUUCUGGAUGGCUAUCUCAUACCAUCAUUCAAUUCGCUUGGAAGUUGAUUUUGUACAUCUCUAUUUGUUGAAAUUAAUUAAUGAUUUGUUUGGUGCUAAUGAAUUCACCCUUUAAUCAGAAGAGUUUUUGUAACUUACUAAAUUACAAACCCUAAUUACUGAAUGAUCACUUUACGGAAUUUUAAGAAUAAUGUAUGUCGAUAUUUGAUUUCGAUCAGUUUAGCAAUUGUCAUUUGCAAAACCUAGCAUUCAUCCAAUUUCCCAAAAUAUUUCCAAAUAAUGCGGAUUAAGGCAACUUAUGUUGGAAAACAAUUCAGAAAUAAAUAUCGACACAAUUAGUGGCCAAAGCCUCAAUCCUCAUUCCAAAUGGUCCAACACGUAACCACUAAUAUGAUAAGAUCAACACUCUGACCCUAUCUCAGACUUGCAAGUCGCACUGUAGUAACAAUGGUGUGGAGACGAAGGAAUGAGAAGCAGAGAGAGAGAGAGUAUAUAUUUUUUGGAGAGUAUUUUCUUAAUUCAUUAAAUGCCUUUCCCACGGAUAAUUGCGUUGGGUCUUAUACAACUUUUGCAACCACUAAGUUGCCAGAUGACAAUUACAAUCACUUAAUAGACUAAUUAAGCUAUUAAAUCUUAAAACUAAACAGCCAUUAAGCUAAUCACUAAGUUUAUAAGCUAAGUGACUAAUUCAUAACAUAAUAAAGGAGACUAACGUAAUACAAGAACCUCAAGUUUCCUUGAGUUCCCCGAUGUGGGACUUAAAGGAGCUAAAAACUCCAACAACAUAGUCACGUGCCAAAAUUGUAGAGAGAGGGAGACGUACCAAAAUGUAGAGUAGGGAAGCAAAAACAAUAGUGCGGUAGCGCCCAAGGAAAGAAUCAGCGACAAAGGCUCCGAGUAAAGGGAGCAACGACGCCGUUCCGGACCAUAUGUUGACGUUCUCAGCCGCUGUGACGGUGGACUGCCCCAAAGGCCCCGUCAGAAACGUGAUGAGGUUGGAGCUGAUUCCAUAGUAGGCAAACCUCUCCGCCAGCUCCACCCCUGAAAAUAUUCAAAUCAAAACUUCACCACACUUGUUUAAUUACAAUUUUUUAAUUAUUAUUAAUCAGAGCAAUUAAUUUAACUAAUAUCUGAUUGAUUGGUUCAGUGCGGUGAGUUGCGGGCUUACCGAUUAUGAACCGAGCAGAACGCCAGCCGCCUGAUCUCGAUCUGUGAACGGGGAGGCCUUUGUGGUCAACGGUGCCCUCGACGCCGUCGUCUAGCAGGGGGGUUUGGGUGUCCCGGUCCGGGGAUUGGCGGGUAGAAGUUGCCAUUGAGUUUCACUGGAAAUGUCGACUUGAAUGAGCAACUAAUACGAUGUUAAUCCCUAUUAAUUAAUGAAACUUUUUUUGUCAAUAAAAAAAAUAAUAAGAUUACUUAGUUUUUUAUAAAAAAAAAUGAUGAACAAUAAUGUAAUUUUAUAAGUUUAAAUUUUACUAUUUUUUAUUAAAAUCUUAGAUGAUGUUAAAAUACCUUUAAUAUUAAAAAAAAAACAAAAAUCUCUCACUCCCUCCUCCACGUUCUCUUUCUCUCCCUUUUUCCUUCUUAUUUUCUAAUAAAAUGUAUUCAUACACACAAAAUAUAUAGACAAAUACUAGUAAGCAAUAAUGUGAUGGGAUGUUUGUCGUUUCUAUCCAUCUGACGUCAUCGUUUUUGUUUGGAUGAUUAUAAAAAAACAAACGGACAAAAGAAAUUUAAAAUAUUAAGAAUAAUACUCGUUCUUCUUUAGCACGAGCUUAUUCUUUGAUUUGUUAUUUGUAAAUAACGCUUGAGGUAUUUGUUGAUUUGUCUCACGAUUUUGUCUGUCUUUGCUAUUUUUUAUUAAUUUUAAUUUUAGCCAUUACCUUAUUAAACUUCUAUAAUUAGUCAAUUUCUCUUUAAAUUUUAAUUUUAUAUAGCCAAUUUUUUCCUGGUGUGAGAUUUUAAAAACUUUCAUUCAAUUUUUUAUCCCUUCAAAUUUUCAUCCUUUUUGCCCUCAUACAUUUGUCAUAUGUUGUUUCCGUGAUCAAGAUAGAUGAAAAAUUGAAUGAAUUUUUUUAAAAUCUAAUGCGAGGGGGAAAUUGGAUAUUUGGAUAAUCGGCUAAAAUUAAAGCUAAAAGGAGAAAUUGGUUAAUUAUAAAAGUUCAAGAAGGUAAUCGGCUAAAAUUAAAGUUUAGAGAGGAAAUUGACAGCUUCAUACAAGUUCAGGAGGCAAAUAGACAAAUAUGCCUAAUGUAUUCGAUUUAGGCUUGUUUGAAAAUGUUUUUAAAAUGAUAAAAAAUGUUUUUGGUUGUUGUAGGGUGUAUUUAACUAGCGAAUUAUAAGGGGAUGAAGAGGUGCGGCGAACAUAGUAUUAGGAAAGCUAAAUUCUUUAGCCUUUAGGUAUUACAAUACAAUAAAAAAAAACUAUCUAAAAGAUAUGGUAGAAUCCCAAUAGGAUUUACUAGGAUUUACACAAUCACAUUCCUAACUAAAUUAGGGCUGUAACACUCCCUUUUGAGUGUUUAAAUACUCAAGUAAAUGAUGCAUAAAGUCUUUAGUGAUGAAGUAAGUUCAGUUGAUGAAGUCGUUGAUACGAUGAGCAAAUGCGAUUCCCAAAUCAACGGAGGAUUGCAUAAAAAGAUAAAACUCACAAAAUCUUGCUAUGGUAAAAACUAAGUAUGAGAGAAAAAAAAAAACAUUGUCUAAGGAGAAACAUGAGAAGUUUUGCAUUAAGUCAAAACUAUACAUCUUUUGGACACAAAUUAGAAAACUCACAAGGGUAUGAUCAACCCAAAAUGGAUGCCUCCUAGUUAAGUAGCAAAAACCCAGCAAGAAAAAUGUUCCUAAUUAUAGAUAAAAAAGUAACUAAGAUCAAGUGAGUAGAUACUCCCCCUAAGUUCGAUAAAACUUCCAAAUGAGAACUACAAGCAUUGCAUAUGAGUUAGUUACACAUACCAAUUCCCGAACAAAGCUUUUGGAAGUUAGACUUCGACAAUGAUGUCGUGAAGAGAUCGGCAAGGUUGUCUGGGAUCAGAUUGCUUGACUUCAUUCUCUUGAUCCUGAUGCUGCUGAUGUGAUGUAGACGCAAUAUUGCUUGGCGUUGACUUCGAUAAUGUAUCAUUUCUUGGUAUGGUUGAUACAUAUGGCGUAAUCUUCAUAGGUCGUCGUUGAGACUCAAUGAUGGAUGAAAACAUAGGUACUCUGAAUACGCUUAACAAGAGCUCUCAUCCAUGACUCGCCUGUGGCGUAGUGAGGGUGAGUCUUUGACGAUUUAAAGCUCUAUUUUUUUGUGAUAAAUACAACCAUUUAAAGCUCAAUUUUAGGAAGAAAAUAAGUAUAAAACUUGACAUAAGAUUUCAGAUUGCCACAUCAUCCAUCAAUUUUAAUUUGACUAUUAAAAUUUAACAAUUCAUUUGGAGAUGGUCUAAUACCUCAAAUAGUUGAUGGAUUUGGGCUAAUGACGCUUUCCUUUGUACUCUUGAUUGGGCUUCAACCAUUAAGUCCAUGUUCUCUGAGAAAGAUAUUGUGGGUUUAACUGUCCAAGCCUUCGCACCCAUUAGAGGUUGGUGGGCUUAACUUUCUUGUGCCGAGUGACUGGUCAUUCGACACAGGAGAGUGGAGGGUUUGCUUGGAUUAGUAGGUCAAAAUUAGUGAUUCACUCAAUGCGAGUGGGUUGACUUAGCACUAUAUAUAAAAGGAUAUUGCACACUCAUUUGUAUCUCCACACCCCUUUAUUAAUUUUUGGUCAUUUAUCUUUUUCAAUUCAUUCGAUCCGACAAGAGGGCCACUACCCUAUGUAAAACUCCAUCCAAGAAUUGCAUGUAUACAGUCAAGGUCAAUGUCCCUCGUAUAAGAGAAAUUGACUGUUGUAAUGGUUCUACAAAUCCAAGUACUGAACUAACCAAAUUAAAAAAUUGAUGGGGUCUAUAUGGUAACCGGUAUAUCUAUAAGGGUAAUAUGAGACGUUUACAAGGACAUCUGAUCAGUAUGACAAUCAUUACUUAGUUUUUCAUCAUUUUAGCCAGUUUCCACUGAAAUCGAUUAUCCUUGCCAUCGAGCAUAAAAAGUACGAUUAGUAUUAACAUAUCUUUAAUGCGUGACACUUGGAACUAUUUAGGAACUAGUAUAUACAAAUACAAGCAUUCAAAAUUCGAAAUCUUGGGAUUUUUAAAAGAAGUAAUGCGUAUGCAAUUUAUCACUAGAUUCCAUCUAGAUAACUCUGGAAUAAAUUAUACACGGUAGAUUUCCAAUCAUACAGAUUCACAUUUCUGAUUUACAACCAACGGCGGUGAUGCGUAGAUCACUGUGCUCAAAUAAUAAGUUACAAGGCGUGGGAUUUAUAAAUGUACGAUUUUGCAAAGUAUAGGUAGAUAACCAAUUGUACCAAACUGAUUCCACCAAGCAGCCAAUAGAAGUAAUCAAGAUGUGCACGGUUAAGAUUACUCGAAAACCAGCUGCUUUCGCCUGCUAAACUGGUUAUGUCAUCGAUGAUGGAAAUAAGAAAGCUACUUAGGAAGCUUCCCACGCCGAAGAUGCUGAGAUAGAGGGCGAGUCCUACACUCCUUAGUUCAUUUGGCACCUGAUCAUAAAAAAACUCUUGCAGACCGACCAUUGUGAAACCAUCAGCUAUUCCGGCCAAUAAGUACUGAGGAGCCAACCACCAGAUGCUCAUUGGAACCGUGGCACUCGGCGUAUCAAGCAGGCCAUAAUCUUUGGCAGUUUUGAGCCUCUUCAUCUCAACUAGAGCUGCAAUUACCAUCAAAAUAAUAGAUAAGACCAUCCCCGUUCCAAUUCUUUGCAGCAUUGUAAUUCCAGCGGGUUUCCCCGUGACAUAUCUAGCAAUUGGAACAAAAAUGCGAUCAUAAAUGGGAAGGAAGAUGACAAUGGCAAUGCUGAUGAAAGUCUGAAGUGAAGCGGCUGGUACAUUGAAGCCAGGCACAAUGGUUCUAUCCAUGGUGGCACCUUGCUUGGUGAAGAAAGUGGAGUACUGUGCAAACACAACCGCAUAUGCCAAGCAUGUAACCCAUAUUGGAAAAAGCCUAAGAACAGCCUUUGCGUCUUCAACGUCAACGAUGGUACACACCUUUCUGUUUUCCUUCAAAUCAUCCGGUGCAAGCAAGGCUUUGUUGAGAAACCUGCCAGUAAAUCAUAUCAUAACAGUUUCUUAGCUGAAAUCAGAACAGACUUAACAGUUCCAUUCUACAGCUAAGUAAAUAUCAUAUAACCAAUGAUGCAAUCAAAGGCAUUAGUUUAUCCUUACAUACUAUACAGCAUAUAGGUAUGAUAAUAUAAUCACCGAAACCAUUAACAUUUUAUUAGAUUCUAAAAUGCUCUUACUACAAUAGAAAAAAGGGAGUUUUAACGAAAAGCUCACGGUACUGUUCACUUAAACGAAAAACCACAUUUUUACACUAAAAAGUCAAACCUGUUACUAUUCACUUUACCCUUUAUUUUGUCCUUAUUGUUAAAACUCAAAGUUUUUAAGCCCUUUUCAUUAGUUUUCCUUAGAAAAAAAGGUGCUGCAAAUGCCACUUUUUAUACUCAAUUUAUUCAAACUAGUUAAGGUUAACUGAAAUUAAAAUUGAUAGACUUAAGUGGCCAUGCAAGAGAUUAUAACAAUAUAUGAAUACUUGUCUUUCACGAAUUUCUUUCGCAGGAUAGGUUACUGAAAGAGUCAUGAAGACAGUUUCUCCCUCCUUUUUAAUCUAAAAUAAUAUCAAACUUUCUCGUUGCCAGUUUCUCCCUCCUUUUUAAACUAAAAAUAUGCCGACAGUUAACUCUCUUACUUGAAUUGUUCAGAACUCUCGUGAGGCAAGAUUCCGCGAGAUUCCUCUUCAGAAGUUACUGCUGAGGGAGAAGUUCGCCAGUUCCUUAAAGCAGCAACAAACACCCUUCCAAUUCUUACAAAAGGACUUUCUUCAUCCCCUUUAAUGCUGUACCGAUAAGUUCUAGUUCCAAGCAGGAAAAUUAACAGUGCAAAGACCAUUGCAAUACAAGGAAUUCCAAAACCCAGACCCCAACUCAGGUUGUCCUGUAUGUAGGUCAAUAGGAUAAGCGUCACGGACGUACCUGCACACAACCCAAAAUACCACCAAUUGAAGAAUGAGCUUUUGGCUUUGCACUCCUCUGGAUCUGAGACAUCGAACUGAUCAGCUCCAAAUGCCUGAACACAAGGCUUGUGUCCGCCUUGUGCAACAGCUACUAGAUACAGGGAGAAGAAGAAGAAUAUUACUUGGAUCUCAGAAGAAGAAAGCACGGCUGACAGGGUCAACAAGCCAAGUCCCUGUUCAAUUUAGGUCCAAAAUUAUAGCAUUCAGACAUAGCAAGAUGUAAAAAGAAAAUACUCAAAACUUGCAUCCCUAAUUAUACCUGAAGAAUAACCAAUCAUUUCUUAGUAACUCCAUCCAUCACAAGGAAAAGUAAAAUAUCAAUCAUUCUUAUUUUAUUUUUCAAAGUUCUGUAUGGUGUACUUUGAAAUAACACCCCUGUAAGCCAGGCCAAAAAAACGUGAGAACCGGCUAUGGCUGAGCUCAUGAGAAACAAUUGGUAAAUAAUCAAAUAAUAUAUGUUCAUUCAUAAACACUCCUUGAGGUGUGCUUUUCGACAAGGCAUGGGAAAUUUUCCCUAAGGUGCAUUACGCUGGACAUUUUCUUUCCACACAAAGCGCAGUCUUCACGCUAUAUGAUUUUUCAAACAAUCCCAGUCCCAAAACAUCAUCAUUUUGAGCUGGUUUUUAAAAUCUACAUCAUGCCCUCUUCUACCUAGGGACAUCAGCUCUCGCCUUGCCUAAUCACCUGUUGGCAUACAUUGAUGGUUGAACAACUGUUUCCCUCUUUUUUGGCUAAAACCUUUAAACCUUGAUGAGAGAUAAAUGGGAAUUUGCUUUUAUUUGCUUUCAUUUGAAUUGAUACAAAUGAACUUUUUUUUGCCUCAUUUAGUUUUUUAAUAUGUUGGAUUUUGAUUAUGCCAAAAUUUCAUCAUCAUUUGUAUCCAUAUAUUUAACUAAAAUUUGAAGUUAUGCCAUUGAGUCCCAAACAUUGAAUGACGUUGGCCUUCUAGUGAAAUUUUAAGAAUAACACAUACGACAUAUGUUAGCAAAAGACACUUUUAAAAUAGGCUUAUUUACACCAACGUCCCCAUGAAACUCAACUUUAGUCUUACUUUGCCCCUUGUAACUCAAAACGUAUCACUUAACCCCAUGAAAGUUGUCUUUGCUUCUCACUUUGCCCCAUUCCAUUACCUCGGUAAAAAAUUCUAUUAAAUCACGUGACGUGGAAAAUGUGGAGCCCAUUAAUUGGCUGACGUGUUGGCUAUGUCAUUGCCACAUGUACAACUUUCAUAGUAUUUAAUAUUUUAAAUUUGAAAGAAAAAUAGAAACAAGUAAAACAAUAAGAAUAAUUACACCAUCAUUUUUCUGGGUAUUUGAUGUGGUUGGGUUGCAGCGGCGAUGUUGCUAGGGAUGGUUAUGCGGAGCAACGUAUGUGGUUAUGGUGAUGGAGUUACAAAAUUGAUAUGAAAUAAGCAAAUUUGAUGGUAGGAGUGGAGUUUGUGGGGUUUUGGUAGCGAUGGGGAGCAGGUGGCGAUGGUAGUGAAAGUUUUCUCUCAGUUUUAG
This 12285-nucleotide long non-coding RNA is filed under the name Malus domestica (apple). RNAcentral describes it as "long non-coding RNA (MDOM_LNC015867)". Lineage: Eukaryota; Viridiplantae; Streptophyta; Magnoliopsida; Rosales; Rosaceae. The record is from RNAcentral.